Molecule: long non-coding RNA, 954 nt
Organism: Myotis lucifugus (little brown bat)
Lineage: Eukaryota; Metazoa; Chordata; Mammalia; Chiroptera; Vespertilionidae
Exons: 3
Source: RefSeq, a predicted model, not a curated record
GUCCGUGCUCUGCCAUCUUGCCCAGGAAGCCCUCCAGGCCCCCCAUCAAAGCCAGCCUGUCUGCUGAUGUGGUCACGGUCCCAAAGGAGACCACAGCCGGGGGGACCGGCCCCAGAGUCAGGAGAUAAGGGCCACCUGACAAGGACAGGCAAGGAGCUGCUGCGGAGGAGCGUGAAGAGCCCUAACCCCAGGGGUAACCUUGGACAAAGUACUCCAUCUCCCCAGGCCUCGGCUUCCUCAUCUGAAAAAUGAAGACGGUGAUCCCGACUCGAGGAUGACAGCAAUUGAUAUGGACUCACACUGUCGACAGAUGUGCACUAAGAACUUACUGCGAGUCAGGCGCUGGCUACCAGUGGUUACCAGGACAGAUACAGCCUGUCUCACCGAGCCUACACUCCAGAGGGUGAGACACACACCAGACAAAGGUGAUCAGGCCUGGAGUAGGAGUGUUCCAAAUGACAAGACUAAGGCUCCCAAGAAUCCUUGCUGGAGUAAAGGAUGUCCCAGCUUCUGGAUGCAGGAGAAGAUGGGAUCACUGCUGCUAGAGUCCACUGCUCUUUCCUGACUCACAAAGGAAAUAGUUUCUCGGUUCCGAGAAUAACAAAUACGAUACGCCCUAGAGGAGGGUGAAUGUAAAGUAAAACCAUGUUCCAAGAGAAUAAAAGCCCUUGUUCAAAGCACCAACUUUGAAAAAACAAAAAAGGGACCAAUUUUGAAAGAAAGGUGUGUGUGUGUGUGUGUGUGUGUGUGUGUGUGUGGUGGGGGUGGGCGUGUGAAGAUAGGGACGAGAGAAAAGGAACACAAACAAACUGGGAAAUGGAAAAAGAAGAGGAUCGGUGGGGCCUCCAAGGCCAGGCAGAUGCUGGAGGACUUCCCAUGUGAUCUCAUGUAAUUAUCCAAGAUCAUCUCCAUUUACAGAUGAUGGACCCGAGGCCGAGGAGGUUAAAUCAACUG